Small nuclear RNA from Lepus europaeus (European hare), 184 nucleotides. RefSeq annotates it as U2 spliceosomal RNA. The transcript has a single exon. Lineage: Eukaryota; Metazoa; Chordata; Mammalia; Lagomorpha; Leporidae. The record is from RefSeq and is a predicted model, not a curated record.
AUCGCUUCUCGGCCUUUUGGCUAAGAUCAAGUGUAAAAUCUGAUAUCUAGGCAUAGCUUUUCCAUAACAGGCAUUUUUCAUAAACUUCUGAAAAACUCUUCCUAUUGAUCUCUACUUUUUUUUCGAAAGGCAGAGUUACAGAGAGGGAGGGAUCUUCCAUUCACUGAUUCACUCUCCAAAUAGC